GAUUUGUCUGGUUUAUUCCGAUAACGAGCGAGACUCUGGCCUACUAACUAGUCCGAGCAUUGCCAUUGUGCUCGCCGACUUCUUAGAGGGAUUCGUGGUGUUCAGCCACAAGAAAUUGAGCAAUAACAGGUCUGUGAUGCCCUUAGAUGUCCGGGGCUGCACGCGUGCUACACUGGCAAAAUCAGCGUGCUUGUGCUCUGCCGAAAGGCUUGGGCUAAACCCUUGAAAAUUUGCCGUGAUUGGGAUCGGAGCUUGCAAUUAUUCUCCGUGAACGAGGAAUUUCUAGUAAGUGCGAGUCAUCAACUCGCGUUGAUUACGUCCCUGCCCUUUGUA
This 333-nucleotide ribosomal RNA is filed under the name Pratylenchus sp. H05. Its description in RNAcentral is "SSU rRNA". It matches the Rfam family "Eukaryotic small subunit ribosomal RNA", at positions 1308 to 1664 of the family's 1831-position model. The record is from RNAcentral. Lineage: Eukaryota; Metazoa; Nematoda; Chromadorea; Rhabditida; Pratylenchidae.